Molecule: ribosomal RNA, 752 nt
Filed under: uncultured bacterium
Lineage: Bacteria
Description: bacterial SSU rRNA
Rfam family: Bacterial small subunit ribosomal RNA
Source: RNAcentral
AGAGUUUGAUCAUGGCUCAGAAUCAACGCUGGCGGCGCGCUUAACACAUGCAAGUCGCACGAGAAAGGGAGCAAUCCCAAGUAAAGUGGCGCACGGGUGAGUAACACGUGGAUCAUCUACCUUUUAGUGGGGAAUACCCCCGGGAAACUGGGGACAAUACCGCAUAAGCUCGUAAGAGGAAAGCAGCAAUGCGCUGAAAGAGGAGUCCGCGGCUGAUUAGCUAGAUGGCGGGGUAACGGCCCACCAUGGCGAAGAUCGGUAGCCGGCCUGAGAGGGCACACGGCCACACUGGCACUGAAACACGGGCCAGACUCCUACGGGAGGCAGCAGUGGGGAAUCUUGCACAAUGGAGGAAACUCUGAUGCAGCGACGCCGCGUGAGCGAUGAAGCCCUUCGGGGUGUAAAGCUCUUUCGACGGGAACGAUAAUGACGGUACCCGAAGAAGAAGCUGCGGCUAACUACGUGCCAGCAGCCGCGGUAAUACGUAGGCAGCAAGCGUUGUUCGGAAUUACUGGGCGUAAAGAGUGUGUAGGUGGUGCUCUAAGUUUGGUGUGAAAUCUCCCGGCUUAACUGGGAGGGUGCGCCGAAAACUGGAGUGCUUGAGUAUGGGAGAGGUAAGCGGAAUUCCUGGUGUAGCGGUGAAAUGCGUAGAUAUCAGGAGGAACACCUGGUGUAGACAGCUUACUGGACCAUCACUGACACUGAGACACGAAAGCGUGGGUAGCAAACAGGAUUAGAUACCCCGGUAGUCC